UCGAUCACUGUAACGAGAGUUGUGUAGUAAAAAAGUAACUAGUUAAAAAUAAAGUUAUUUUAAGUUAAUCACUUAUUAAAAUCACUAUUUAAAUUAUUAUUACACUUUGAACAAUAAAUUAUUGAAAUAAUUUAUGGAAGCAAUUUUAAUUAUUCGUAAUUUCAACUAAUUAAUUCGUAUUAAAUUUUGCCCCAUCAUUGUUCAUGUGUCACCGCAUUGUAUCAAGUUCCGGAAUGGGAUAGAAAAAAAGAAUCGUGAAAGUACAUUACAAUAUUCUCGUCGAAAUCGAUUUGAAUCAACAAUUUCCAUAAAACGAAAUUCGUCUUGUCAAACUAUUUCAAAUCAUAGAGGCGAUUUUUCAUCACGGAUUGUUUACGAAAUUCAUCGACGAACAAUACGCUCCGCUGUUUGCCAGAAUUUUUUCAACCGUGCUGCCUUCUCAUUCAAGCAGAGGCCAGAUAAGGAAAAGAGAAUCGAAUCGAACACUCGACACGAUAUCUCAUCGAAGAUCGAAAAUCGAGAAGAAGCACUCGGUUAGAGGGGGAGGGGAGGGGAAAUGGAUCGGGGAGCAGCCAUGUAAAAAGUUACGAAAAAUGGUGGCCGCUCAUGGACGUCCGUGGAUUUCCUUUUAUCGCCCGCUUCCGGUUCCAUCAACGCUGCAACGAUCGAGCGAACGUCCAUUUUUCGCGCAUCCACUUCGAAAAUAUGCGGCCGCCUUAAAGCCGCGUUUUUGAUUCAGAAGGAAAAAGAAAAAAAAAAAAUUAUCGUCGAUGAAUUUCACAUUCGCUAUCUCGUAAUACAACAAUCGAAAAAGAAAAAGAAAUGUAAGAAACGAAAUCUUGGAUAUUAAUUUUUUUGUCUCCGUUAAUUUUGUUAACAUCUUUUCCAUGACAAAAUUAAUGAUCAACAAAAGAAAGAUUUCAA
Molecule: long non-coding RNA, 924 nt
Organism: Apis cerana (Asiatic honeybee)
Lineage: Eukaryota; Metazoa; Arthropoda; Insecta; Hymenoptera; Apidae
Source: RefSeq, a predicted model, not a curated record